GCGGCUGUGGCGGAAUUGGUAGACGCGCUUGGUUUAGGUCCAAGUGUCCCUGACGUGGGGGUUCGAGUCCCUCCAGCCGCA
This 81-nucleotide transfer RNA is filed under the name Breoghania corrubedonensis. RNAcentral's name for it is "alpha proteobacterium UBF-P1 tRNA". It matches the Rfam family "tRNA". Rfam says of the family: Transfer RNA (tRNA) molecules are approximately 80 nucleotides in length. Their secondary structure includes four short double-helical elements and three loops (D, anti-codon, and T loops). Further hydrogen bonds mediate the characteristic L-shaped molecular structure. tRNAs have two regions of fundamental functional importance: the anti-codon, which is responsible for specific mRNA codon recognition, and the 3' end, to which the tRNAs corresponding amino acid is attached (by aminoacyl-tRNA synthetases). tRNAs cope with the degeneracy of the genetic code in two manners: having more than one tRNA (with a specific anti-codon) for a particular amino acid; and 'wobble' base-pairing, i.e. permitting non-standard base-pairing at the 3rd anti-codon position. The record is from Rfam by way of RNAcentral. Lineage: Bacteria; Pseudomonadati; Pseudomonadota; Alphaproteobacteria; Hyphomicrobiales; Stappiaceae.